UUUGCCUUCACUUUUAUUUAUGUAGAAUUCCAUAAUCAUACCUUGUUCAUCGGAUCCUUACUUGAUUAUAUUCUCACAAUUUUUGUCACUUACAAAUUCUAGUUUCUGGUAGUUCAACUAUUCCUUAAGUUUUCCAAUAUAAAAGCCUCUCCAUUUUCACCUCUAAGGACAUCCAAAUUUGAGAUUUCACUUCACAAAAAACAUUACAGUUUGAUAAAACUUUUUUGGAUUUUAGUUAAGAUGUUCAGAGAGAAAGUCAUAGUGUGAUUUUUUGCAAGUACUUUCCUGUCUUUUCUUGCUUUCUCAGGAGGACGACAAAAAUGCUCCGACAAUAUGACCAUGUGGCCUGAUUAUCUGAUUUCGUGUUAUUGUUGAGAUUACGAGGCUACGAAUAAUCUUCAGUGGAUUGCAAGACCAGAAGUAAGUUGGAAGUCAAGAAAUUAUCCUUCAGGUGCAUACAGAGGAGUAGAGGAUAUUGCUAGAAGAUGUUCCAACUGGAUUGGCGAGCUCCAUUUCUUUCCGGAGUGUUGCCGAGUCAGAGUACCCAUGUCAUGGCAUAAUGAAUUAUGUUAGAGACUUUGCAGAUAGAGUCACGUAUAUAGUAUGUCAUUCUUGUAAGCGGCUAUUUAAGCCGAUGUAUCAUUAUGCAUUAUGUUACAAAUUUCAUACGAUUACAGAUUUUGCUUGAUUUGAGAAACACGAAAAGAAUGUUUUUGUUAAAAGCUUUCACUAUGUUUUUCAGUUCAUGACUUAAGGAUUAUGAGAUAACGAGAUCCAGCGGGUUCGUUCGGCUCUAAGUAAGGGUCGGGUGCCCAUCAUGCCCUAUCAGGAUUGGGGUGUGACAGAACUCCAAGGAAACCAUAUUUUUGUAAAAUUCUCUCAAAAUAAAGAAA
This is a long non-coding RNA of Lycium barbarum (goji berry), 893 nucleotides long. RefSeq lists it as uncharacterized. Lineage: Eukaryota; Viridiplantae; Streptophyta; Magnoliopsida; Solanales; Solanaceae. The record is from RefSeq and is a predicted model, not a curated record. The transcript is spliced from 4 exons.